Molecule: unclassified non-coding RNA, 258 nt
Filed under: uncultured Gemmatimonadota bacterium
Lineage: Bacteria; Pseudomonadati; Gemmatimonadota
Description: uncultured Gemmatimonadetes bacterium contains 16S-23S intergenic spacer region
Source: RNAcentral
UGGGCUUGACAUCUACGAGCCCCGAAGGGGGGCCCCUGUUUCCAGAGGCUUUCCCGUAGAUGUCAAGCCCAGGUAAGGUUCUUCGCGUUGCUUCGAAUUAAACCACAUGCUCCACCGCUUGUGCGGGCCCCCGUCAAUUCCUUUGAGUUUCAGCCUUGCGGCCGUACUCCCCAGGCGGGGCACUUAACGCGUAAGCUGCGACACGGAGAGGGCCGAUCCCCCCCGCAUCCAGUGCCCAUCGUUUACAGCGUGGACUAC